ACAAGUGGAGCUGAGCCUUCACCUUGAAAUGAGCGAAUCGAACGCGUGCGCUGGGAGUGCUGCAAACUCAAGGUGUUCCUUGAUCCUUUAAUCUUGCAAAUAUUCAGCCCCUCAGCAGCGAUGUCUCUGCCAGCCCUCCGGUUUCUGGCUCAGACCCGGCUCGGAGCUUGGAGAAGAAAUCCGAAGUCCCAACAGAAUAACCUCUGCCGUCAUUUUCUUUUUUUCAUAGCCUUUGUUCUCCCCCUGGAGGUUUGUGGUGAGGUUCUGUCCCGCCGCUUCUCCCCCGGAAACCAACGAAAUCAACCGAAAUAAUGAUGAAUUUUUCAACUCUU
Corvus hawaiiensis (hawaiian crow) is the source of this 332-nucleotide long non-coding RNA. RefSeq lists it as uncharacterized. The record is from RefSeq and is a predicted model, not a curated record. The transcript has 2 exons. NCBI's taxonomy places the organism in Eukaryota, Metazoa, Chordata, Aves, Passeriformes, Corvidae.